Molecule: ribosomal RNA, 278 nt
Filed under: uncultured Staphylococcus sp.
Lineage: Bacteria; Bacillati; Bacillota; Bacilli; Caryophanales; Staphylococcaceae
Description: partial 16S ribosomal RNA
Rfam family: Bacterial small subunit ribosomal RNA
Source: RNAcentral
GUGCCAGCAGCCGCGGUAAUACGUAGGUGGCAAGCGUUAUCCGGAAUUAUUGGGCGUAAAGCGCGCGUAGGCGGUUUUUUAAGUCUGAUGUGAAAGCCCACGGCUCAACCGUGGAGGGUCAUUGGAAACUGGAAAACUUGAGUGCAGAAGAGGAAAGUGGAAUUCCAUGUGUAGCGGUGAAAUGCGCAGAGAUAUGGAGGAACGCCAGUGGCGAAGGCGACUUUCUGGUCUGUAACUGACGCUGAUGUGCGAAAGCGUGGGGAUCAAACAGGAUUAGA